RNAcentral lists this ribosomal RNA (459 nucleotides) under uncultured bacterium. RNAcentral describes it as "partial 16S ribosomal RNA". It matches the Rfam family "Bacterial small subunit ribosomal RNA", at positions 338 to 795 of the family's 1533-position model. The record is from RNAcentral.
CCUACGGGAGGCUGCAGUGAGGAAUAUUGGUCAAUGGACGGAAGUCUGAACCAGCCAUGCCGCGUGCAGGAUGACGGCUCUAUGAGUUGUAAACUGCUUUUGUACGAGAAUAAUAGUUCUUACGUGUAGGGAUUUGAAUGUAUCGUACGCAUAAGGAUCGGCUAACUCCGUGCCAGCAGCCGCGGUAAUACGGAGGAUUCGAGCGUUAUCCGGAUUUAUUGGGUUUAAAGGGUGCGUAGGCGGACUGGAAAGUCAGCGGUAAAAUCGAGAGGCUCAACCUCUUUCCGCCGUUGAAACUGGCGGUCUUGAGUGGGCGAGAAGUAUGCGGAAUGCGUGGUGUAGCGGUGAAAUGCAUAGAUAUCACGCAGAACUCCGAUUGCGAAGGCAGCAUACCGGCGCCCGACUGACGCUGAGGCACGAAAGCGUGGGUAUCGAACAGGAUUAGAUACCCCAGUAGUC